GAUGAACGCUGGCGGCGUGCCUAAUACAUGCAAGUCGAGCGAACAGACGAGGAGCUUGCUCCUCUGACGUUAGCGGCGGACGGGUGAGUAACACGUGGAUAACCUACCUAUAAGACUGGGAUAACUUCGGGAAACCGGCGCUAAUACCGGAUAAUAUAUUGAACCGCAUGGUUCAAUAGUGAAAGACGGUUUUGCUGUCACUUAUAGAUGGAUCCGCGCCGCAUUAGCUAGUUGGUAAGGUAACGGCUUACCAAGGCAACGAUGCGUAGCCGACCUGAGAGGGUGAUAGGCCACACUGGAGCGGAGACACGGUCAAGACGACUACGGGACGCAGCAGUAGGGAAUCUGCCGCAAUGGGCGAAAGCCUGACGGAGCAACGCCGCGUGAGUGAUGAAGGUCUUCGGAUCGUAAAACUCUGUUAUUAGGGAAGAACAAAUGUGUAAGUAACUAUGCACGUCUUGACGGUACCUAGUCAGAAAGCCACGGCUAACUACGUG
This 497-nucleotide ribosomal RNA is filed under the name uncultured bacterium. RNAcentral's name for it is "partial 16S ribosomal RNA". It matches the Rfam family "Bacterial small subunit ribosomal RNA", at positions 28 to 507 of the family's 1533-position model. The record is from RNAcentral.